UUGAAGUCAGGCCACUUGUGCCACGGCUUGAGCAAACCGUGCUGCCUGUAGCUCCGCCAAUAACGGGAGGCGUAAUAAUCCCGGGGAGGCCAUGCGCCACGGAAGCUGUACGCGUGGCAUAUUGGACUAGCGGUUAGAGGAGACCCCUCCCACCAUCAACUAAACGCAGCAAAAAGGGGGCCCGAAGCCAGGAGGAAGCUGUACUCCUGGUGGAAGGACUAGAGGUUAGAGGAGACCCCCCCAACACAAACAC
This 253-nucleotide long non-coding RNA is filed under the name dengue virus type 4. Its description in RNAcentral is "Dengue virus 4 partial sfRNA2". The stretch from base 176 to 248 matches the Rfam family "Flavivirus DB element". The record is from RNAcentral. Lineage: Riboviria; Orthornavirae; Kitrinoviricota; Flasuviricetes; Amarillovirales; Flaviviridae.